GGGCCCGCACAAGCGGUGGAGCAUGUGGUUUAAUUCGAUGAUACGCGAGGAACCUUACCAGGGCUUAAAUGUAGUGGGACAGGUCUAGAGAUAGACCCUUCUUCGGACUCAUUACAAGGUGCUGCAUGGUUGUCGUCAGCUCGUGCCGUGAGGUGUCAGGUUAAGUCCUAUAACGAGCGCAACCCCUAUCGUUAGUUGCCAGCGAGUAAUGUCGGGAACUCUAACGAAACUGCCAGUGCAAACUGUGAGGAAGGUGGGGAUGACGUCAAAUCAUCACGGCCCUUACGUCCUGGCUACACACGUGCUACAAUGCUACGGACAAAGGGCAGCAAGUUCGCGAGGACAAGCA
Molecule: ribosomal RNA, 349 nt
Filed under: uncultured bacterium
Lineage: Bacteria
Description: bacterial SSU rRNA
Rfam family: Bacterial small subunit ribosomal RNA
Source: RNAcentral